UAAUAUCCUAAUUUAUAAAUGAAAUGUAUAAUUUUGUAUAUAUAUUUUGACAGCAUUUAUUUACUUAAAAAUAUAAUCAAAAUAAUAAAGACCGUUAAAAUUAUCAAGCCUGGUUAUCCAGUCAUAGAAAUAUUCUUGUUUUCUUUGUUGAUUUGUGUUUGUUGCAAAGUGUUCAGGCCAGUGGUCCGUGAUUUAGUGGAUGAUAUUGUCGUUUUAGAUGAAAAUGAGAUUAUAAAAGCCAUGAGGCUUUGCUACGAGGUUCUUAAGUUGGCUGUGGAGCCAAGUGGAGCCAUUGGCCUUGCUGCUAUUCUCUCUGAUCAGUGUAAGCAGAAGCCUUAUUGGAAGGACAUGAGGAAAAUAUCGAUCGUUCUCUCUGGAGGUAAUGUUGAUCUUGGAGUGCUUUGGGAAUCACUCAAGUGAACCUUCCAGGUAUUUGUUUUUAUCGAUUUAGAAGUUCAGCAAGAAAUGGACAGAAAUGAAGAACUCCAGCUUUAGCUAUUUUGGCAGAAAGAAGUUUCGUCCUUGUACAAAUCUCAUCCAUUUGCUUGUCUGGAUUAAAGAGUUGGUUCCAGAUGCAUUAGACUUCUAAGAGACCAUCGGUCAAUGUUGAUGAUGAUUAUGAAAUGAUGAGCAGUGUAUCGAACGACUCUUGAUAAUGGUGAUGACUCUUGGUAAUGGUGAUGAUGAUGUACAAUAUCAUUUAGAUGAAGUGAAUGUUGAUAUGAACAUUGAGAUUCAUAGUAUGGUUCAACGUUAUUAUUACAUAAAUAUUAGCACUUUAGAAAGCAUAACAGUAAACAAUGAGUUUAUGAAGGCAUAUUUCACCACUUGUGAAUGAGAUGAGGAUGUAGGAAAUAACAGUGAAUAUAUUGGUAACCAAGUCGAGGAAAAUUUUUUAAUUUCAAUAGGUUGAUGGAUGGCAUGUGUUUUAGUAAGAAAGAGGAUCUUCAGUUUGCAUUAUAUGAUUUAUCAAUUAUAAAUAAUGUGGAAUGUGCCGUCAUAGCUUCAAACAGAAAAAUGACAAUGGUUUGUGCUCAGAAUGGCAGGUCAGACGUACCAUGUAUAUGGCGUUUGCAUGCAGGAGUGAGCGAACGUCUUGGAUGCAUAUGGAAAAUAUUUUCCAUGAAGAACCAACAUACCUGCACAACUUCGAUUCUAGCAAUAGGACACCGACAAUGCAAUCCUCACUUUAUAAGUUACUUCAUAUCACCCACUAUUAUAAGAUAUAUGGAUCUCAAGAUGCAGGAGAUUAUAGGCCAAAUUGAAGCGAAGUUCAACAUAAAAGGUUUCGUAUAUGAAAGGUUGGGAUGCCUGACGAAAAGCUGUGAAGAUAGUGUCUGGUAGCUAGGAGUCUUAUUGAAUCAUUAAUUUAUUCAUGAGCGUUGUUGUGUGUUUGAUGCCUGAAACCAUCUAUACGAUACAAACGUUUGAGAAUCAUAGAUUGAGAUAUUAUUUUUCUUGUUUGGCCCUUCGAUAAAUGAGUGGAUCUACUAUCGUUAUGUUCUUUUCCUUGAUGGGACAUUCUUACUAGGUAAAUAUCGAUGCACUUUACUUAGCGUUGUGGGAAUUGAUACUAACAACGGAUUGUAGCCCCUCGCCUUCGCGAUUGUAGAGUCAGAAUGUGUUGAUUUAUGGGUGUGAUUUCUGAACCAAAUGCAUAUACUCAUUUCGGUUGUUCGUACCCGAACUGAUUUAUGCAUUAUAUCCGACAGGCAUGCUGGUUAUGUGCAUGGUUGUCAUGAAAUUUUUUCUAAUGUUGCACAUCACCUCUAUCUAUGCUACCUAUGUGAGAACUUUAAGAAAGCAGUGCGUCAGAUAAGUGUUGCUAACGUAGAGUUUCUAUGCCAUAAGACUUACAUGGCAGGGAACACUGAUGACCCAAUGGUCUUUGAUAGGUGCAUGAUAGAUAUGAUAAAGGUAAAGGCUGAUAUUCACCGGUGGUUGGUUGAGCGUGAUGUUAGGUCAGGGCUCUAAUCUAUUAUGGUGGAUAUCAUUAUGGAGUUAUGACAACUAAUGCGUCAGAGUCAUUCAAUGGAGUUCUUAAAAGAGCUAGUGGUUUGCUCAUUCAAGCAUUGGUUAUAGCCAUUUACUAUAACGUAGUGGCAUUGCACUUGCGAAGAACAGAAAUGGUAGAGGGUUCUGAACUUCAUGCUACUAGUCCCUUCGCACCAAGAGUACAAGCCGCACUACGAAAUAUCAAGCAGGAAGCACGUAGGUUACCACAACCCAUUCGAAUCAAUAUGCCUGAGUUCCAAGUAGUUGACACAUAAUCUCAGUCUUUCAGGGUUGAUUUAAUUAAUGAUAAAAAUUGCAUUUGUAGUUGUUGGAAGAGCAUUAUAUAUCAUUUCAUGUGUGCACCCGUAGUGCAUUGUAUUUCAAUGCUCAAGCAACGUCAUCAGAAUCACAUCUCAUAAUACAACAGCUUAGACAAUUGCAAAAUGACAUAUGCUGGUUAAUUUCAUAACAUUCCAAAUCGAUAUAGUUGGGCACAAUAUGAUCCAACACGUGGCAUACACCCACUCAUUCCCCCAAAUUUUAGAAGUCGUACUAGAGACUUAGAACAAAUCAUUUUAGGAUCACAAUGAACGAGGGCAGAGUUAGAUGCAAUAUGCAAUCUAUUGCAUGUAGUUCAGUAGGACAUAACAGGGCCACUUGUCUUACUAGGUGUGCAUAAUAUUUAUUUUAUAAAUAUAAUGAUUUUUCCUUUUGUUAGUUAGCAAAUUCAAUUUAUUUGUAAAAGUAAGAAUUUUUUUUUACAUGUGAUGACUUUUGAUAUUUUUUGUUAUGAAAUGUGUUUAAUUUGUAGAAAUGAUACCGCAAUUUGUUUACACCACAAUUGUUUGUACAUGUGAUUAAUUUGUAGAAGUCAUCCGUUUUUUUUUUUUCACUUGAAUGUAUUAUUUGGUUGUGAUGGUAAUGAUUUCUCAUAUAAUUUCAUAAUAAAUGUUAUUAUUUUAUAUAAUUUGUAUGCUUUUUCUUGGUAAUUUAACUUAUUAUGUUUUUGUAAAUGUCAUGAAUAUUUCAAUUUUUUUAUACGUGCCUAAUAUUUCUUUU
RNA transcript from Dendrobium catenatum, 3054 nucleotides. RefSeq lists it as uncharacterized. NCBI's taxonomy places the organism in Eukaryota, Viridiplantae, Streptophyta, Magnoliopsida, Asparagales, Orchidaceae. The transcript is spliced from 2 exons. The record is from RefSeq and is a predicted model, not a curated record.